AGCACUAUUUUUAAACCUGUUGGUGGAAUUUCCUGGCCACCAUGGGUUACGCUGUAGUGCAAAAGAAUCUCCUGGCUCUUUGGAGCGUAGCUGGCUUUCUUCUGUUCAGCUGAUGCUACUCUGAAGCUAAGGAACAGAG
Molecule: small nucleolar RNA, 139 nt
Organism: Anser brachyrhynchus (Pink-footed goose)
Lineage: Eukaryota; Metazoa; Chordata; Aves; Anseriformes; Anatidae
Source: Ensembl